Molecule: non-coding RNA, 1002 nt
Organism: Phoenix dactylifera (date palm)
Lineage: Eukaryota; Viridiplantae; Streptophyta; Magnoliopsida; Arecales; Arecaceae
Source: RefSeq, a predicted model, not a curated record
UGUUAUAUGCUUUUAUAAGGAUGUGGGUGGUGCAGAAUUGACUGGGUAUGGUAAUCGAAGAUAUUCCUCUGUUCUGAAAGCAGCUAGCUAGAGAUCGGGGGAGAAGUCACAUUAGCUUCAAAGAUUCUGACAAUGAUUCUCAUAUGAUUUCCCCAUCAGUCUGGAAAUCUGGAGGCCCAUAUCAUGUGGCUCGUAGGGCAUACCAGGAAGAUUCUGACGAGUGUUAUGAGACAGUUUAUGCUGCUCGUCUCAGUGACAGGACGAGGCAUAUGCUGUUUGAUGUGGAUUUGAAGGUUCAAGCAAGUUAUCAAGGUGAGCAUGUUCCUCUGGUUUCUCUGAUGAGCAGAUUGAAUGGCAAAGCAAUUAUAGGACACCCUGUUCAAAUUGAAAUACUCAAGUCUGACACAAAAGGCAAACACAUUUACCCUCUCCAAGUAUAUCAGCAUUAAGAGAUUUAUAUCUCCAUUGAAUUGUAAGACAAUCAAAGCGUGGAUAGGGAAGCCACUAGCAAUCUCUCAUCAAGGAUCAACUUUGACAUGGUUAUGCGUAUAUCUUUUCUGAAAAAAGGAAUGCUGCAUGUAUCUUGUUCUAUUUUAAUCACAGCAGAAUGCCAGAUGAUUUGCUUAUCAUAAUCUUAUAUAGCUUAAAAUACUUUCUGGUGACACUUGCAGCAUGUUUGUCUCUUCUGUCAAGAGGCUGAGGGUGCUGAAGAGCUCCGAUCUUUCUGUGCUAUCUCUGGGAGCAGUCUGCAGGAAAAGAAAUGCAACAGAGUGUUGAAGGAAAGAGGAGAGGGAAUACAUAUUAGCGGCAAUGGGAUAGCAGGUCACAUGUAAAUCCAUUUAGUGAGAAGCCAACGCCUGUUUUUAUUAUUAGCCUUUUCCUGUUUAGGUGCUAAGAUGAUUGUCUAAAGCACGCAGCUCUUUUGUUCAUGACAACCCCCUUUCUUCUUAGACUUUUAAAAUAGACAUUCUUAGCUAUGAAGCUUGAAUCUUCUUCAAGUUA